UUCUUCGGAUGAGUGGCGCACGGCUGAGGAACACGUGACUAACCUACCCCGGUGUGGGGGAUAACGGGUCGAAAGACUCGCUAAUCCCGCAUACGAUCCGCCUCGGCGGAGGAAAGCCGUAAGGCGCACUGGGCGGGGGUCGCGUCCCAUUAGAUAGUUGGUGUGGUAAUGGCGCACCAAGUCGAUGAUGGGUCUCUGGUCUGAGAGGACGACCAGACAGAUUGGGACUGAGACACGGCCCAAACUCCUACGGGGGGCAGCAGCAAGGAAUUUUCGGCAAUGGGCGCAAGCCUGACCGAGCAACGCCGCGUGGAGGAUGACGGCUCUUGGGUUGUAAACUCCUUUUGGGGGGGACGAUAAUGACGGUACCCUCCGAAUCAGGCCCGGCUAACUACGUGCCAGCAGCCGCGGUAAUACGUAGGGGCCAAGCGUUGUCCGGAAUUACUGGGCGUAAAGCGUGGGUAGGUGGUCGGUGAUGUGCCGCGUGAAAGCGCCGGAGUAAUGCCGGCGAGGUCGCGGUAGACACACGGACUCGAGGCUCGCAGAGGAACGUGGAAUUCCCGGUGUAGUGGUGAAAUGCGUAGAUAUCGGGAGGAACACCAGUGGCGCAAGCGGCGUUCUGGGCGAGACCUGACACUGAGCCACGACGGCGUGGGGAGCAAACAGGAUUAGAUACCCUGGUAGUCCACGCAGUAAACGAUGCAUACCAGGUGUGGGAUGGCGUUCGCGUCGUUCCGUGCCGCAGCUUACGCGAUGAGUAUGCCGCCUGGGGACUACGAGCGCAAGCUUAAAACUCAAAGGAAUUGACGGGGGCC
This 815-nucleotide ribosomal RNA is filed under the name uncultured bacterium. RNAcentral's name for it is "bacterial SSU rRNA". It matches the Rfam family "Bacterial small subunit ribosomal RNA", at positions 83 to 921 of the family's 1533-position model. The record is from RNAcentral.